RNAcentral lists this ribosomal RNA (274 nucleotides) under uncultured Rhodocyclus sp. RNAcentral describes it as "partial 16S ribosomal RNA". It matches the Rfam family "Bacterial small subunit ribosomal RNA", at positions 66 to 345 of the family's 1533-position model. The record is from RNAcentral. Lineage: Bacteria; Pseudomonadati; Pseudomonadota; Betaproteobacteria; Rhodocyclales; Rhodocyclaceae.
ACGGCAGCACGGGGGCAACCUGGUGGCGAGUGGCGAACGGGUGAGUAACACAUCGGAACGUGUCUGUUGUGGGGGAUAACCACCGAAAGGUGAGCUAAUACCGCAUAAGCUGGAGACAGGAGAGCAGGGGAUCGCAAGACCUUGCGCGAUUGGAGCGGCCGAUGUCCGAUUAGCUAGUUGGUGGGGUAAAGGCCUACCAAGGCGACGAUCGGUAGCUGGUCUGAGAGGAUGAUCAGCCACACUGGGACUGAGACACGGCCCAGACUCCUACGGG